Molecule: unclassified non-coding RNA, 262 nt
Filed under: plant metagenome
Description: partial contains small subunit ribosomal RNA, internal transcribed spacer 1, and 5.8S ribosomal RNA
Source: RNAcentral
UCUCCGUUGGUGAACCAGCGGAGGGAUCAUUACCGAGUUUACAACUCCCAAACCCCUAUGUGAACGUUACCAAACUGUUGCCUCGGCGGGAAAUUCAUGCCCCGGGCGCGUCGCAGCCCCGGACCAAGGCGCCCGCCGGAGGACCAACCAAAACUCUUUUGUAUGUCCCUCGCGGACUUUUAUAAUUCUGAACCAUCUCGGCGCCCCUAGCGGGCGUUUCGAAAAUGAAUCAAGACUUUCAACAACGGAUCUCUUGGUUCUG